GUUGAACGCUGGCGGCAGGCCUAACACAUGCAAGUCGAACGGUAACAGGAAACAGCUUGCUGUUUCGCUGACGAGUGGCGGACGGGUGAGUAAUGUCUGGGAAACUGCCUGAUGGAGGGGGAUAACUACUGGAAACGGUAGCUAAUACCGCAUAACGUCGCAAGACCAAAGAGGGGGACCUUCGGGCCUCUUGCCAUCGGAUGUGCCCAGAUGGGAUUAGCUAGUAGGUGGGGUAACGGCUCACCUAGGCGACGAUCCCUAGCUGGUCUGAGAGGAUGACCAGCCACACUGGAACUGAGACACGGUCCAGACUCCUACGGGAGGCAGCAGUGGGGAAUAUUGCACAAUGGGCGCAAGCCUGAUGCAGCCAUGCCGCGUGUAUGAAGAAGGCCUUCGGGUUGUAAAGUACUUUCAGCGGGGGGGAAGGGAGUAAAGUUAAUACCUUUACUCAUUGACGUUACCCGCAGAAGAAGCACCGGCUAACUCCGUG
RNAcentral lists this ribosomal RNA (490 nucleotides) under uncultured bacterium. RNAcentral's name for it is "partial 16S ribosomal RNA". It matches the Rfam family "Bacterial small subunit ribosomal RNA", at positions 28 to 507 of the family's 1533-position model. The record is from RNAcentral.